This 418-nucleotide ribosomal RNA is filed under the name uncultured bacterium. Its description in RNAcentral is "bacterial SSU rRNA". It matches the Rfam family "Bacterial small subunit ribosomal RNA", at positions 362 to 777 of the family's 1533-position model. The record is from RNAcentral.
UAUUGGUCAAUGGACGCAAGUCUGAACCAGCCAUGCCGCGUGAAGGAUGAAGGUCCUCUGGAUUGUAAACUUCUUUUAUAUGGGAAGAAAUCCAUCUUUUCUUGGGUGGUUGACGGUACCAUAGGAAUAAGCACCGGCUAACUCCGUGCCAGCAGCCGCGGUAAUACGGAGGGUGCAAGCGUUAUCCGGAUUCACUGGGUUUAAAGGGUGCGUAGGAGGGCAGGUAAGUCAGUGGUGAAAUCUCCAAGCUUAACUUGGAAACUGCCGUUGAUACUAUCUGUCUUGAAUACCGUGGAGGUGAGCGGAAUAUGUCAUGUAGCGGUGAAAUGCUUAGAUAUGACAUAGAACACCAAUUGCGAAGGCAGCUCGCUACACGAAUAUUGACUCUGAGGCACGAAAGCGUGGGGAUCAAACAGGA